Long non-coding RNA from Nicotiana attenuata, 397 nucleotides. RefSeq lists it as uncharacterized. The record is from RefSeq and is a predicted model, not a curated record. NCBI's taxonomy places the organism in Eukaryota, Viridiplantae, Streptophyta, Magnoliopsida, Solanales, Solanaceae. The transcript is spliced from 2 exons.
GCUUCAUUUUCCCUCUUCUCAGACAACCUAAGUAACCUAACAAUACUCCGCCGAUGAAGAACGACCUUGUCCUCAAGGUCGACUCUGAGCUAGCUGAACUACAAAUUUGGGGAACUCACUCUUCAAAUAACCUAGUCUUCCCAGGUAUUCAUCUCAACUAUGUAGCACUCAGAUUAUCCUGAAUUUGAUGUAAUAAAGUUUAGAGCUUUAACUUGAGCUCUUUGUUAAUUACAAAAUGCAUAUUUUCUAGUUUAUGAAAUGGUAAGUACGCAUGUUUUGUUUAUAAAUACUGGUUAUGUCAAGAAAUGCUUUAGUUUUCAAUUUCGACAUGUGGUUUGAAUUCCGAAAUAUGUCUACUUGGCUACAAGUCGCAAUAAAGUAAUGUUAGUUUAAUUUA